This 253-nucleotide ribosomal RNA is filed under the name uncultured bacterium. RNAcentral describes it as "partial 16S ribosomal RNA". It matches the Rfam family "Bacterial small subunit ribosomal RNA", at positions 524 to 776 of the family's 1533-position model. The record is from RNAcentral.
UACGGAGGGUGCAAGCGUUGUCCGGAUUUAUUGGGUUUAAAGGGUGCGUAGGCGGCCCGUUAAGUCAGUGGUGAAAGCCUCCAGCUCAACUGGAGAACUGCCAUUGAUACUGACGGGCUUGAGUACAGACGAGGUUGGCGGAAUUGAUAGUGUAGCGGUGAAAUGCAUAGAUACUAUCAAGAACUCCGAUUGCGUAGGCAGCUAACUAGGCUGUAACUGACGCUGAGGCACGAAAGCGUGGGGAGCGAACAGG